RNAcentral lists this ribosomal RNA (420 nucleotides) under uncultured bacterium. Its description in RNAcentral is "bacterial SSU rRNA". It matches the Rfam family "Bacterial small subunit ribosomal RNA", at positions 8 to 414 of the family's 1533-position model. The record is from RNAcentral.
AGAGUUUGAUCCUGGCUCAGAACGAACGUUGGCGGCGCGCCUAACACAUGCAAGUCGCACGAGAAAGGGAGCAAUCCCCGGUACAGUGGCGCACGGGUGAGUAACACGUGGAUAAUCUUCCCUCGGGCGGGGGAUAACCUUCCGAAAGGAGGGCUAAUACCGCAUAAGACCACGGCUUCUACGGAAGCUGCGGUCAGAGCAGGCCUCUUCAUGAAAGCUUGCACCUGAGGAUGAGUCCGCGGCCCAUCAGCUAGUUGGUAGUGUAAUGGACUACCAAGGCUAAGACGGGUAGCUGGUCUGAGAGGAUGAUCAGCCACACUGGAACUGAGACACGGUCCAGACUCCUACGGGAGGCAGCAGUGGGGAAUCUUGCGCAAUGGGCGAAAGCCUGACGCAGCGACGCCGCGUGGGUGAUGAAGC